GAUCUCUCCUCGGUUCUAAGCAAACACAAACAAACAAACAAAAAAGCAGUGAAAUCAUGAAACAGCAUCCUCGGUUCUCAACAAACCAACAAAAAUAAACCGAAACAAACAUCACAUGAAAAAUGAAAUCCUCAAUAAUAGAGGGAAGAAAGUGAAGAAAUAAUAGCGAGAACUAUAGAUCUAAUGUUUUGAAGCUAUCUCUGAGGGGAAUGAAGCCUGGUCCGAGAUCCCACGGAUGAGAGGAAUGAAAAACCUUGCACAAAUCAUCCUCAAAACCGCAAGGUGUAUGAGACCUUGAACCAGACAACAUUCCACUCAGAAGCAAAUAGCUUCAUACUAUCAAUUUUCCUUUCCCCUCCUCUCUCUCUCUCUCUCUCUCUAUCUAUCUAGUUCUCAUCCUCUGAUAUUCUUCCCUUGCAAGAAGCUAUGGGCAAAGAGCACGGGUAUGUAUAGACACAAGGAGCAAGGGCCAGUGACAUGGUCCAUGG
RNAcentral lists this non-coding RNA (488 nucleotides) under Oryza sativa Indica Group (long-grained rice). The record is from RNAcentral. Lineage: Eukaryota; Viridiplantae; Streptophyta; Magnoliopsida; Poales; Poaceae.